AAAAAAGUACGAGAUAGAAAAGAUCUUCUCUUUUUGAGUUCAAAUUAAAAAGAGAAUACUUUUUUAUAAUACGCCGAGCCCUCUUGCGAUGGAAGAGGUGAUGGUAUAGUCUAACAAGGGAGUAUCAUGAACUCUGUGCCAGCAGCCGCGGUAAGACAGAGGAUGCAAGCGUUAUCCGGAAUGAUUGGGCGUAAAGCGUCUGUAGGUGGCUUAAAAAGUCUCCUGUCAAAGAUCAGGGCUUAACCCUGGGCCGGCAGGAGAAACUCUUAGGCUAGAGUUGGUAGGGGCAGAGGGAAUUCCCGGUGGAGCGGUGAAAUGCGUAGAGAUCGGGAGGAACACCAAAGGCGAAAGCACUCUGCUGGGCCACAACUGACACUGAGAGACGAAAGCGAGGGGAGCAAAGGGAUAGAA
RNAcentral lists this ribosomal RNA (411 nucleotides) under Dictyosphaerium ehrenbergianum. Its description in RNAcentral is "bacterial SSU rRNA". It matches the Rfam family "Bacterial small subunit ribosomal RNA", at positions 426 to 783 of the family's 1533-position model. Lineage: Eukaryota; Viridiplantae; Chlorophyta; Trebouxiophyceae; Chlorellales; Chlorellaceae. The record is from RNAcentral.